UCCAAAAUCAGCCCCUGCCCGUGCCAUCUCCUACUGAUUAUUGAGCGGAUUUAUAGUGGGGGCUCAGUUUGCCCCGUUGACAUCCCUUCUCUCCUUGAACCGGCUGAGCGUAGUUGAAACGACCUCAUUCCCGCGGGAUAAAGUGACCUAUCGAUGGGUGGCAGAGAAUUUGCGGGAAAGAUGAAGUUGAGAGAUGACUGAUAAGUAAAAUUUGAUCAAAACUGGUGCGUUUCCUACACACACACGAGUCUAUAGAAUUGAUUGAUCUAUGCAAUAUGUGAUUUUCCAUUUAUGAUACUGAUGGCGAUUGUUCCUCAUUUGCUUAAUUUGUUUUCAUACUGCUUUAUUUAUAUACAUAAUUUUCUGUGAAUUGCUGUUAAAGUUGAAAUUAUUUUAUACAUAUUGAGAAUUUGAGAUUAAGAAAGUAUUAUAGUUAAAUAACUUUUAAUUAUUUUAUACAUAUUGAGAAUUUGAGAUUAAGAAAGUAUUAUAGUUAAAUAACUUUUAAUUAUUUUAUACAUAUUGAGAAUUUGAGAUUAAGAAAGUAUUAUAGUUAAAUAACUUUUAACUUGCAUGUGCUGUUUGAUUACUCUAUCUCCCAAAGAGUAUGGAAUUGAAAAAAGUGCUUGAUUGGCCUUUUCAGCUGUGACUUUCUUUAGAUAGUAAAAUAUUUUGAAUUAGCUGGCUUGAAAUUAUUAUUUAGGAAAAGUGAGUUUAGCAUUUUGGCCCCAAAUGGAAUGCAAUAUGCUCAUCUCCACUUCAGUCACUAUAUUGAUUAAUAUUGUAAGUUUUUACUUGGGUUUAACUAUUCCAGUUGGACUUUUCAACUUUAUCCCAAAAUAGUUGGGUAGGAUGAGAUGAAUUCAAUAUGGAAGCAUAAAAGUAGAAAGGUAAGAAGAAAAUUAAAAAGAUAAAACCACUUAAAUAAGGAAAAAAACAAUUUAAAUAAAAGAAAAGAAGCGAAUGGGGAUAAAUAAAAUAAAACGAGACUCACAUAUAGAAAAAUACAUACAAAGAACAAAAAAGGGGGGAGUGAAAAGAGAUGGACAGAAAACACAACAAAAAGGUGAGACAUCCUAUUCUGCCUCAUUACAUUACUCCAAUUCCAGUUGGACUUUAAGUAUUUUAAUUCCUUUCAUCUCGUCUUAGGUCAAUUUGAGGACUAUGUCAUAUUUGACACAUGGAUCUGAGUAGUAUAUGCCGUCGUGGGUCCUUGGACUUGCCAAAUUGACAAGUGCUAGUACUAUUGUGCUAAGGCUGGAUUGAAAUUGUAAAACCAAUUAAUGUUUUUCAUUUUUAAAAUUAUGGGAAUAAUUAGAAACUACAGCACCCAAGCUCUCUUAAUUAAAUCUUUGCAAUUUCCUUUUUCUUUUUCUUGUAGUUUGCUUGCUGAUUUACUUCCUUUUCAUCUAUAGACUCGUAUAUGUCCCUACAUUUAUCCUGAAAUCUGAAACAACUUAUAUCUAAUUUGAUGGAGCCUUACUGUUAAUAUGGAGCUGUCGUGUUAAGUUCUGCAAGUCUGAUUCCGAAUUUGAUAGAGCUAUGCAAACAUAAUGCAGAAUAAUGAUCUGCCAAAGUAUUGAGCAAGUAUAUUGUAACAUUUUCUCGACCUAAUAUAAAUUAUUGAAAAUCUGAAGCAAAAUUGUAUGAAUUUUGUAAGAAGUUUGAGAACUUUAAUUAUUUGCAAUAGUUUAUCAUUAUUUUGAUAACUUGACUAAAGUGGGAUUUAGAUCUGAUAAAAGGUUAGAAUCAGUUCAAAAUUUAACUAUAAAGAUCAGCACUGCAGAAAAACCAUUUUACAUUACUAUACCUGUAUUGUCUAUAAUAUACAUACCUAGUCAAAUUUGUUGUUGUGACUGUGAGAUUUUAUACAAAAACAAGUAGUAGUCGGUUAUACUGGUUAAAGUUGUAUUGAAGGGUUAUACUUAUUUUGUUGAAGUUAAAACUAACGAACUAGCAGGAAACUAGACUGGCAAAAGACUCAAACUGAUAAACUUUCUUCUUCUUGGAAUACCAGGUCUUCAUGUUUUUACAUAUAUCUUCAUCUUGCAAGAUCUAUGGCACUAAAACUUUGAUGGUGUAUUGUGUGGGGAGACAUGGGCACAACAUAUGUGGGUGGGCACGAGAGAGAGAAGUUUUUUAUAUAUUUUUUUGUUUAUAUGACAUAAUACACCAAGCUUGCAAUGAAUUUACAAGGAGCUUCUACUGCAAAGAUAACAUAUUAGUCUCAAUAGAGACAUUUUGGCUACUGAACCAAUGAAUAUUAAAAUAUGCAUACACUGGAUGACCUUGGGAUAUAUGGUUGCAAAUUGCCAUUACAUACAAGCUGUGACAAACUCCUCUGUAGGUCAAUACAUGUCUAUGCAUUUGGCUCUGCUUUUUUGUUUUGAAAAGAAUGACCAAUACCGGGGCUGUGACCAGGACCCUUACUCGCCUCGUUUGAUUGAAUUUCAACAUUGUGUUCAGUGUAAGAGUGCCCAAUACCAGGGCUGUUGCCUGGUGUUGUUGGUCGAAAGUCAUCUAUAGAUUCUGCAACUGCAGAAAAUCCCAGACUUUGAGUAGAUGUUGGGAAAGUUUCUUUCUUUUUUACAACUGAAUGCUCAACACCAUGGUUAUCAUCUUCAGAUGUCACUUGUACAUCAUAUUCCUUUCUUGUGGGGGUUUUCUGUGUGUUGAUAUUUCUGCUGUCAUGCUUUCCCAUAUUCCUUCCAUCUUCAAUGAGAUGAACUUCUUGUUUCUUCAUUGAUAUUAGUUGCCUUCCCUCGGUAAGUAAAAUUUCAUGGCAGGCGAUUACUGCAAGAAGAAAUGUCCAAGUGUGGAUGAGUUUCAUGUGGGCCAUAACAAGGCAAGAAAAAGAUUGUGUAUGUUUAAAAUGAAAGGUUCUCCCUGUUGGUUGUGAGAGAGGGGGAGGGUUGGAGCCUUGGUUGGAGAAUGAGAGAAGAGUGGAAUGUAGGCAAUCUUGUUACCUCCUUUGGUAUUUAUAAUCAUGGGGAGCAUACAAUACAAGGAUAGUAGCCGCUAAAUUGUCUUAAUAUAAAUUUUGACAGAUGACAUUCUUUUGAGGUUCCUAUUUGAACGAUGCAUAUUUGGUGUAGCUAAUGAUGUUUUUUUUUUGUUUUUGAUUUGUAUUUUAAUAUAAUGUAUUGUAUAUCUGCUAUUGUUCUUUUUUCUCCUUUUCUAGUCCUCUUGGUUCAGUCCUUUCUACUAACUUUCUUUCAUCUUUCACUCCCCCUUUCCUAAUUUGACUGUCAUGUUUAUAACUAUGUGUGCGCAUGGAUUUUAAUAUGUACCAAUAACAUAUUUGGAUAUAAUAUUUUGAGUCAACAGUCGUUAACAGAAGAAACAGACAACAGUCUUAUACUGGAUGGAUACUAUACAAACUGUAAAAAGUAUAAUUAUGUAUGAAAAAAAUAUAACCCGCAAAGCAAAACUGCUACCAUUUUUAGUUUAGGGACACUAUUGACCUCCCGCAAACUCUAUUUUUUUCAUAUUUAUUUUAUUUUCCUGAAAUGCAUUAUAGAUGUUGAAGAAUGACUUAGAAAUAUCACGCUAUAAAGUAUUAUCUUUAAACAUGUGGUUGAAAUGCCAUAAAAUCCUGUUCUAGAACCACGAUUCUUCAAUUGACACUCAAAUUGGGACUGAGGGAUUUUCUUUUCUUUUAUCAUUUUCGCUUUAUUUAAUUGAAAAGUGUUUGUUUGAAAUUAAAAAUAUUAAAGUGAGAUAGUAUUACCUGAAAAGUGGUUCGUUUCGGUACGCGGUACGUUAUAUUUUUGAAUUCGCUUCUCUUUCAUCGGCGAGGUUUGAACUUCGCGUGGUGGGAAGGCCUUCAUGAUUCGCAUCUUCCCUACGCUAGGUAUCUUUAUAUAAGUUUUUAUAUUUAGGAAUUCUCUUAAAAUCUAAAUGUAAUAAACCUAAGUUUUAUAGAAGAUUUUUAGAUUAAUCAACAACUUAAUUGUUUUGUAAAUAUUUUAGUAAAAAUAUAAUGUUUGAGCAUCCAAUACUAAAUUAUAAUAUCGAUAUUUAUGCAAUUAUUGGUUAAACCACCAAAAAAAAAUCUAGUACGCUAAAUUUAGAGUAUUGAUACGUAAAAGUAUACUGUUUGAAUACGCUAGUACCAAUACCCGGAGUAUCUUCCUAUCUGGUAACUGUGGUCAGAGACUCAGAGUAGAUGAAAUGCGACAUAUUAUCAAGAAACAUUCAGCUGAUUGAGUCCUGAAAGUUGAAGGUCGGUCUUUGACUGCAUAAUGACCUUUCAUUGUGCUGGAACAAUGCUUUAUUGUAUUAAUUUUGUAAUGAUAAUAAUUUUCAGUAAAUUGAAUUAGAAAGUUGCAUCUGUUAGCUUAGAAAUAUGAAAGAUGUACUUAAUUGGCCUUAGCACCACCACCACCGGCAGAAGGCAACAAAAGUCUGGAUUCUCAUGUACUUCCCACUUACCUAUGUCUGUAUAUAUUUUAUGUGGUUGGCUCACAUGCAGCUUCAACCUCUUGCGGUCGACAAAUUCAAGUGAUUUACAUCUGUCCUGUAGUUUGAGUAUUUUUUUGUUUAUGGUAUGUGCAAGCUUUUUGAGUGAAUGAUAUGAUUACUUAGCUGCUGAAAGGUUAAGAUUCCACAAGAGAUAUCCUUAAUAAUUUGAAAUAGACCCUUAUUUUGUAGUUUUCCUGUAAGUAUCUGCAAGUGCUGCUCUUUAAAAUGGCUUUGUGAUCAGACUGUUAAAGAACCAUAUAUUGGAGUCUGCCACAAAAUAUAAUUCAUCUACGUUUGGACAAACUAUAUCACAUCUAAUAGAAUUGGCAUGCCAAAAUAAACAUUCAGUGGCUUAAUUCUAUCUUCUUUUCAUGUCCCAUGCAUCACCUUCAUGACUUCAACAAUACUUUUUCUUUUCAUCUAUUUUCUAUAGUUGGAAAUCAAAGGCAAUGUUCAGUUGAAUUGAGUUGAAAAGUUCUUAUAAUUCAGUGUUAUUCAAAUAAGCUCUUCUUAAGUCUACAAGUUCCAUAAGGGACACUCUAGUUGUAAUGCUAACUAUAAUAUGAUAACAUAUUUCAUUUUAGACUAAAAUACACUUUACAGCCCAAAGUUUUUAGGGUUGUUGAGGUUUGCACCUCAAUGUUUCAAACGUAUCUAUGUGCACCACAAAAAUCUUUAUGCUAAACAAAAUGCACCCUUCGAGGUUUAAACUGGUCAAAAAGGCACCCCAAAGUUCUUUUUAGCUCAACAAAAUGCACCCCAAAGUUCGUUGCGCUAAACAAAAUGAACCCUCACUUUUGAACGCUUAAAACAUCAAAAAGAACUUUGGAGUGCGCUUAGAUACAUUUUAAACAUUGGGAUGCAAAACUCAACUACCCUAUAAACUUUAGGGUUCAAACUGUAUUUUAUUCUUCUUUUUAAUUCAAAGGAGUUAUCAAUAGAAUUAUAAAGUUUAUGUGGUGCUACUGUGAACCUUUUUUGCUAAUCAUUAUAUGAUUUCUUACCUUUAUUUAUGUUUAUUUAUGUUGUGCUGCCUCCCAAAUGAAUGAAAAGGACUAUUCUGGACCCUUCAAUUAUUCUGAGUUAGGCAGUAACAAAUUAUGGCUAGAUAUACGUUAUUUCUUUUGUAGCUUGACAUUUGCUUUAUUAGUUGGUUUGAUUGGGGUCAAUUGAGAUGAGAUACUACUAUAUUUAGUUUCUCAUUUUUUGUUGUUUUGCUGGAGAUUUUUGGCCUUUCGUUGUAAAUUGCGGUAGAUUUAAUUAAUACUUUCUCUAAAAGUAGAGCAAAAGGCAUACUGCAUAUGUGCACUUCAGGAGGAAAUGAUUUAUAAUUACCUGGAAAAAAGAGCACUAAUGGUGGAAAAGUAAUUUUGGUUUGGAAUGGAUGGUUUACAUAAAUAGCCGCAAUUUGACUAAUACCAAUUUACGAAUUAGUGAAGAUUUGCUGAUAUUUUUUUUAGACAUAUACAAAAUUUUGACCUUAUAAUCUUUGUGGAGGUUUUACUUGUAUUUUUAAUUGGUUUUUUGACUCAAUAUCAAAGUGGGUCUCUUCUGGAUUUACUUAUUGAACCAAACCACAAUCUUCCACCUCAUUAAGUGGUAGUGUUUUUCUUAUUUCGCAAUCACAGGGUCAUUUUAGGUACCUGGUACCCAAAACAAAAUUAAGACGAGGUUAGAGAAGUAAUUACUGAAACCCAAAAGAAAACAAAAUAUAGAUAAAAUGAGUACUUCUUUGCAUGCGAAAGAACUGUUAAGGUUAUGGGAAUCUACUUUAGUUAAACUUAAUGUGUUAUGGGACUAAGACUUAUGGAUUCCCAAUUCUACCCUACUUAGAUACGAGUUGAUCUUAGGUUUAAUUUUGUUUUGCAUCAUCAAUCGUAUAUGCCACUAAUGCCAGCUUCUUUCCAUUUGCAAUAAUUUGAACUUUGUGGUCAAUAAGCAAAAAUUGUCAAUUGAAAUGUAUCAAAAACACUAACCCCUGAGGGUCCUACCACUCGUCUUUACAAAUAUAAGUUGCUAGUAGUAUUUUUCGAAGCAGUCAAAUGAAGUAAAUCAUGAGCUCAAAGUGGAAUUACGGAUUUUUUUUUUCCUUCUCAAGGACACUGCAUGGUUGGCUCCUAGAGCUCAGGAAGACUUCACCAGCCUUCUCCACUAAGUUAUUAAAAAUAAAAAAGAGUGAUAUAAUAUUAGAGAACAAAGAGUAGUUGUCCUUUGCUGUGCUAGGCUGUGGUGCAUGGGCAUUGUUAAUUUUUAGUGCUUAUUAUAUAAUGACAACUUGCUGAAAAGUGUAGCUUGAUAGUGAUUUUGGCAGGGCAGUGAAGGAUCUUCCCCAUGCCUUUGGAAUCUUAGUGGUCCAAGAUCUUAUAUACUUUUUGUUUCUGUGCCUAAGAGCAUUUCAGUGUAGUUCUGUCUUAGCAUGGGCUCUUCAAAAGCAUGCUGACCUCUGUUUCAAUUACAAUAUGAAACUUACAGCAUGAAAGGACUCUUAAAGAAUGAUUUGGUGUGAAGGAAGCUCUUGUUGUAGGUACUUAGGAGUAAAGGGUGAGUGCCAUAUAACAAGAAGAUACUUGAACUUGGCUCUUCAGGAAUGAAUUUCAAUGCCCUUAUAAUGAUAAUCCAGUGUAACGAAUUUCUUUUCUUAAACAUCUUCUAGUCGAGAUGUCGGUAAAAACACGUUAGGAAUGUUUCAUUAGCUAAAUCCUAAUGUGGAGCCUUUAGAAUGGAGAAAUUAGUUAGAUUCUAAUGAACUUUAGGAUAUAGGCAUGGUUUUGAUAAAUUAAAAUUUGUUGAGAAUAUAAUGUCUCACAUCAAAACAAAGUUAUAGUUCCAUGUCUAAAUUACAUGAGCUAUUCUAUUCAUUAACAGUUAGUUCUGAGUUUGAUGCUUCAAUAUGGUAUCUAAGCAGGAACCUUGGCCGACAAUAUCAUUCACAUAGUAACGCUUAGUUCUGAGUUUGAUUCUAUUCAAUAUGCAUGUUAAACUAAAUGGGCAUACAUGCUAUACAUCCAUUAUAUAUUAUUAUUAUGAUUAUGAUUAUUUGAUUCAUUUUCAGCUUACCACAGCUACUUUGGGAUCAAAAAGCUUUGUUGGGUACUUGGGUUGAGUCGACUCAAAUUAGUCCACAAGUCAGGGGGAUUAUGUUUAAAAUAUUAUGUGAGAUUGCUUAAACUUUACAUUGACAUAUAAGCUAUAUAUGUUAUUACACUUAUUGUCAUUCAAUUUGACGAACGGUCUAUUAAAUUUGAAUCAAGCUCUUAGACUAGCAUUAGAAAUGCAUAGACUCAGAAAUUAUGAGUUAUUCUGAUGAAAAAAUUUAUAGAUAUUAACGGAAAGAAAGAUUUUUGUCAGAGUUUUGAAAGUAUGAGGAUUCAUUCCAAAGAUGUUGAAAACUUUGACGACCUGUGGAUUACUAGAACUCAUCCUUAAGAGGCUUCUUUUCUGAAAAAUCAAAUUUGUAGUUAAAUACAUAUUUUUCAAAAGGUUGAGAAAGAAGUUGAUGAAAUGCCAUGCAUCAUUGAAAUAUGCAGAUUAUUACAGCUGCUCAAAUUCUGGCCUUAUGUGAUUGUUGAGAAAUUCGAGACUGCAAUUUUAAAAUAAAGAACUUACUACAUAGUAAGAGUAUGAAGUUCUUGCUGUUUUGGGUUUUACUGUUGGGGAUACUUCUGUAAACCAAUGAUGAAUUCUCUACAUGCUUCCAGCCUUUCAUAUUGUGAUUUGUGUGAUACAUAUCGAGACAAUUUUGUAUUACAUUCUUUCAGUUACUUUUCGAAGCAUUCACAUUCUACACUACCCGAGCAUGAGAAUUUGAUCACCACCUAUACACCUCAUGGUAAUGUAAAAUCAUCUUCAGUUUGAUUUGUUAAGGUUUAUAACUUAUAUGCACCUAGAAAAUAUAGGAAUAUUCUAGUAAUAUUAUUCCUAGGAGGUAAAUGACAAGAUAUAUUGAGAAAAAGUAUAUUUCAUCUAGUUGUUAUAUUGCUAGUGUGAAUCUUUUUAACUCUUGAGACAUUUUUCUUUUCUUUCUUGAUAAGUUUAAGCAAAGUAUUUGCUAAAUUUGAGAACUUAAAAUCCUAGUUUGUUUGUCAUCAAAUUAUUGAUUUUUCCUUUCUGAUGUUUUUUUGUUGUCCUUUUAUUAAACCUUUGCGAGUGAAUAGAAGGUGAACAUUAAAUUAUAAACUCAAGGAUGAUAGGCACAUUGCACCCGUUAGCACAUUAAAACUAGAGUUUAUCUACAAAAAUAGAUUGAGAAUAUUAUUAUAUGAUGAAUCAUAAUAGAUGGUACAUGCAAAUAUACAAAUCACUUUUUAGCACAAUGAAUGAGAUGCACAGCACUGAACAAUUUACACAACCUUUACAAUAUGAUAGGCAUGUUUAUCAACAAGGUUGCCCAAUCCCUAGUUUUGAAUGGAGUGUCCAACUCCAGGGCUGUGACCUGGUGUUGUAGGUCUGAAGUCAACCACGUGAUCUGGUGGUGGAAGUGGCUGAGUCUUGCCUAAAGCCUGACUUGGUGGCAUUGGUGUCAUAGGUGCUGAUGGCACAGCUUCAUCAGCAUAUGCUGUUUUAUCUAUGCUCUUACCAGCAAUCUGUUUGGUCUCUUUUUCAGAUACCAAGCGAGAAUGAAGGUUCGGGAUAUCAUAUUUCUUUUGGAAUUUCAAAUGCCUUCCCUCAAUAGACUGAAUUUCAAGGAAGAGAGUCAAUACGAGGAAAAGAGUAGCAAGGAUUAAUUGUGUUUGAGCCAUGGAGAUGGAGACAAAGAGUGAGGGAGGCAGGGAGCUAGGCAAUAGAGGGAAGCAAGAUGAUUAAAACUCUUUGAUCUCUUGGGUAUUUAUAGAGCUGAAAGAGCCAUGUACAUGUACUGGUCUUGGAGAUUCUUGGAGAUACAAUAUUUGGAAAACUUAGGUCGUCUCAUUUCUUUUCUCCCUCUAAAGUGAAUACUCGUGUAUGAUGCAUAAACUUUAUUUUUAUCCAGUAUUUUAUGGUUACUAAAUAAUUAAGAUUGUUAGAAUAAUCUAUGAAUGGUUUACAUUCUUUUAUCUUCUAUGAAGGGUUUACCAUUGUUUUGCAGCCACAGAGAUUUCAGAGUGCUGAAUAAACUUAUGUUCUCCAUCUGUUAGUCACAGCUGAAAUCAAGGAGGCCACAGCCUAAAGGUAAGUUAAACAUCUCAACAUGCAUGGUGGGGUUCGUGUGCAGCGUGAGACUAAUAAAUAUAUAAUAUGCUAAGAGGUUAAGAGUACUUUAUUAUGUAUAUUAGCACUUAGCAGUGGUGUUUGGAGGACGAAUUGGAACUGUAAGACCCACUAUUGAGGUUUUUUAAACAUUCUUCUGAUAAUUUUUUCUUGUUUUGUUCUUCUCCACUUAGUUCUUUCACAUAAAAGGCCACACUUGAAGUCAAACGUGGUUACCAUUCCAACUAGAAACUCCGAUUCUCUUGUUUUGUAGCUUGGAUGCCUUUUAAUUGUAACCAUAAACCAACUAUAUAUUGUUUUUAGCUACC
RNAcentral lists this long non-coding RNA (9959 nucleotides) under Panax ginseng (ginseng). RNAcentral describes it as "long non-coding RNA (PGIN_LNC018471)". The record is from RNAcentral. Lineage: Eukaryota; Viridiplantae; Streptophyta; Magnoliopsida; Apiales; Araliaceae.